RNAcentral lists this ribosomal RNA (484 nucleotides) under uncultured bacterium. Its description in RNAcentral is "partial 16S ribosomal RNA". It matches the Rfam family "Bacterial small subunit ribosomal RNA", at positions 30 to 507 of the family's 1533-position model. The record is from RNAcentral.
AUUGAACGCUGGCGGCAGGCCUAACACAUGCAAGUCGAGCGGAUGAAGGGAGCUUGCUCCUGGAUUCAGCGGCGGACGGGUGAGUAAUGCCCAGGAAUCUGCCUGGUAGUGGGGGAUAACGUCCGGAAACGGGCGCUAAUACCGCAUACGUCCUGAGGGAGAAAGUGGGGGAUCUUCGGACCUCACGCUAUCAGAUGAGCCUAGGUCGGAUUAGCUAGUUGGUGGGGUAAAGGCCUACCAAGGCGACGAUCCGUAACUGAUCUGAGAGGAUGAUCAGUCACACUGGAACUGAGACACGGUCCAGACUCCUACGGGAGGCAGCAGUGGGGAAUAUUGGACAAUGGGCGAAAGCCUGAUCCAGCCAUGCCGCGUGUGUGAAGAAGGUCUUCGGAUUGUAAAGCACUUUAAGUUGGGAGGAAGGGCAGUAAGUUAAUACCUUGCUGUUUUGACGUUACCAACAGAAUAAGCACCGGCUAACUUCGUG